UUUUCUUCAGUCUGUUGUGUUGAACUGUAUGUUUCUCUCACUUGAUUUCUAGACUUUUUUGGGGGGCUUUUUCUGUUUGGCCACUUGCUGCUAGGAUUUCUUGGAAUUAAUUUUUUUUCACCUGCAAAAUGAAUUUUCUGUUUCUACAAUGCAGGCAGGCAGGCACUCCCAUGGGGUUACAGUCUUGCAAGCUUUCCAGCUCCUGCCUACAAAGUGAGGAGGAAUGCAAACCGUCUUGUGGCUGCUGCUGUAUGUGCGAGGACUGGAGAUAUUGCUCUGACCAUUGCUGUGACAUCUGCUGCCAGAUGUGUAUGGAUGUGUGCACUGGCCUCUGUCCUGCAGACUGCAGCUAUUCCUUCUGUUAUCUCUGCCUCACAUUGGUAGAGAACUGUCUUGGUUUUUUCCAGCAAACAAACAGAAGCAUAACGGAGACAGAAACCAGUAGCAAGUCCACAACAGCAUGCCAAGUGAUUGUCUGACAAACCAAAGGCAAAAGACUGACUUAGAGAAUAAGAAAAUGAAAAAGAAAAAGAAAGCUUUACCAGAUUGAUUGACAUGUAUGUAUUGAAGAGAGAUGGCUUCCUUCCCCACCAGCUGUUAAACCAAGCCACAGGCUGCAGAUCUGAGGCAGAAAUAAGAAACGCUGACACCUUGACAACAGAUCAUGAAUGCAAGGUGAGGUGAACAGGGGUUAAGGACUAUGGUGCUCCAUGAAAACCUGUUCUGCACUGCCAAAAAGCAGUCCUGUUGUUUAAAACUAAUGAAGACCCAGCAGGCUCAAGUGUCCUCACGCUGUAAUAAAGUACUUGGUAACACUUUCUUAUGUGCUUCCUCUGUGGUGCGCAAGGGCAAAUGUAAAGUGUAGUAAAUAGUAUAAACCUCUUUUUUUUUAUUAAGGGACCAAUACAAUGCAUUGGAAAAUAACAAGUGGAAACAGUUUGCUGUUUUUUGUUGAAAAUAGGUCGUUUUUUUUUAAAUUUCCCUUUUGUAGAAAAUUUGAAUUGUGUUCUUGUUAAGAGAAAGAGGUCUCUGAAUUAGUUUGCCUGUGUAGAAGAAACCUAGAACCGCAAUAAAUAAUAUAUAUAUAUAUAAAUAAAAAACAUAAAGCAUAUGACUGAAAAGUAUAUCAGGUGUAAAGAAAAAAACAAAAGCAAAAAUGUACAGCAUGUAAUAAGAGGUUGAAUGCGCUGAAGAGCGAGGGCAGUAUCUGUGUAUCAGUGAGGAAAGUGGAAUGGUUAUCAUUACAUGCUCCUCUUAUUUGUCAAUGGCCGUGGAUCUGUUCUCUGCAGCUGUAGACACACACACACACACACACACACACACACACACACACACACACACACACACACACACA
Molecule: long non-coding RNA, 1354 nt
Organism: Oreochromis niloticus (Nile tilapia)
Lineage: Eukaryota; Metazoa; Chordata; Actinopteri; Cichliformes; Cichlidae
Exons: 6
Source: RefSeq, a predicted model, not a curated record